Molecule: transfer RNA, 75 nt
Filed under: Candidatus Woesebacteria bacterium RBG_16_42_24
Lineage: Bacteria; Candidatus Woeseibacteriota
Also listed under: 2 other names
Description: tRNA-Thr
Rfam family: tRNA
About the family: Transfer RNA (tRNA) molecules are approximately 80 nucleotides in length.
Source: RNAcentral
GCCGACGUAGCUCAGCGGUAGAGCAACGCUUUUGUAAAGCGAAGGUCAGUGGUUCAAUCCCACUCGUCGGCUCCC